Molecule: ribosomal RNA, 430 nt
Filed under: bacterium
Lineage: Bacteria
Description: partial 16S ribosomal RNA
Rfam family: Bacterial small subunit ribosomal RNA
Source: RNAcentral
UGGGGAAUUGUUAGCAAUGGGCGCAAGCCUGACGACGCAACGCCGCGUGGAGGAUGAAGACCUUCGGGUCGUAAACUCCUUUCGAUCGAGACGAAUGGCCUCCGGGUGAAUAAUCCGGAGGAGUGACGGUACCGAGAGAAGAAGCCCCGGCUAACUCCGUGCCAGCAGCCGCGGUAAUACGGGGGGGGCAAGCGUUGUUCGGAAUUACUGGGCGUAAAGGGCUCGUAGGUGGCCAACUAAGUCAGACGUGAAAUCCCUCGGCUUAACCGGGGAACUGCAUCUGAUACUGGAUGGCUUGAGUUUGGGCGAGGGACGCGGAAUUCCAGGUGUAGCGGUGAAAUGCGUAGAUAUCUGGAGGAACACCGGUGGCGAAGGCGGCGUCCUGGACCAAUACUGACACUGAUGAGCGAAAGCCAGGGGAGCAAACGGG